This 1217-nucleotide ribosomal RNA is filed under the name metagenome. RNAcentral's name for it is "bacterial SSU rRNA". It matches the Rfam family "Bacterial small subunit ribosomal RNA", at positions 318 to 1520 of the family's 1533-position model. The record is from RNAcentral.
ACUGAGACACUGCCCAGACUCCUACGGGAGGCUGCAGUCGAGAAUCUUCCGCAAUGGGCGAAAGCCUGACGGAGCGACACCGCGUGCAGGAUGAAGGCCUUCGGGUUGUAAACUGCUGUCACGCUUUAGGAACGAACGGGUGUUAAUAGCACUCGGACUGACCAAGGCGAAAGGAAGCACCGGCUAACUCUGUGCCAGCAGCCGCGGUAAGACAGAGGGUGCAAACGUUGUUCGGAAUUACUGGGCAUAAAGAGCACGUAGGUGGUUCGCUAAGUCACGUGUGAAAUCCCCCGGCUCAACCGGGGAAUUGCGCGUGAUACUGGCGAACUCGAGGCGGGUAGGGGUGAGCGGAACUCCAGGUGGAGCGGUGAAAUGCGUAGAUAUCUGGAGGAACACCGGUGGCGAAAGCGGCUCACUGGACCCGAUCUGACACUGAGGUGCGAAAGCUAGGGUAGCAAACGGGAUUAGAUACCCCGGUAGUCCUAGCCGUAAACGAUGGGCACUGGGCAGGGGGGAUACCUAUGUCCUCUCUGCCGGAGCUAAUGUGUUAAGUGCCCCGCCUGGGGAGUACGCUCGCAAGGGUAAAACUCAAAGAAAUUGACGGGGGCUCACACAAGCGGUGGAGCAUGUGGUUUAAUUCGAAGCAACGCGAAGAACCUUACCUGGCCUUGACAUGCAUGGAUUAGUCCCGUGAAAGCGGGAUGACAGCUCUUCGGAGUCGGAACAUGCACAGGUGUUCCAUGGCUGUCGUCAGCUCGUGUCAUGAGAUGUUGGGUUAAGUCCCGUAACGAGCGAAACCCUUAUCACUAGUUGCCAGCGGGUAAUGCCGGGGACUCUAGUGAGACUGCCGUUGUCAAAACGGAGGAAGGUGGGGACGACGUCAAGUCAUCAUGGCCCUUAUGGCCAGGGCGACACACGUGCUACAAUGGCCUGUACAAAGGGUUCCGAGACCGUGAGGUGGAGGCAAUCCUCAAAGCAGGCCCCAGUUCGGAUUGAAGGCUGCAAUUCGCCUUCAUGAAGCCGGAAUCGCUAGUAAUCGCGUAUCAGCCACGACGCGGUGAAUACGUUCCCGGGCCUUGUACACACCGCCCGUCAAGCCACGAAAGCGGGGAGUGCUCGAAGUCGCUUUGCUCAACCUUCGGGAGGGCGGCGCCGAAAGCAAGCUCCGUGAUUGGGACUAAGUCGUAACAAGGUAGCCGUAGGGGAACCUGCGGCUG